This is a non-coding RNA of Arachis ipaensis, 802 nucleotides long. NCBI's taxonomy places the organism in Eukaryota, Viridiplantae, Streptophyta, Magnoliopsida, Fabales, Fabaceae. The record is from RefSeq and is a predicted model, not a curated record.
ACAAUUUUAAAGAAUUGCCGUAAUAUUUAAACAUUAUGAUAUUUUUUGUUGCUGCCGUAAUUGACUUUAUAUUUAGUGGCGGUUCUGGUGAUUAUGAUGAUUUUGAACCGCCAUUAUCACACAUAUAAAAAUGAGAAAAUUAAGAUCUCUAGCUCAUUGAAACACAGAUACGACGUCUCGCUCUCGAUCUCCUUUCUAUCUCUCCCUCGUCUCGUCCUCCUUUAUCCGUCGCUACCGCCGCUUUCAGCCUCCACCGUCGCUUCUUCUUCAACGGAAUCGCAGGUUCCAAGCCACACACACCUUCUCGGAUGUCUCUGGCCAGUGCAACAAUCUCGGAUCUUCUCCUAUGACAUCUUCUUCGACGAAAACCUCUUUUGGUGACAUCUCCUCCCAUGGGUUUUGAGAGAUAGGAAUUGACGCAUUGUGCGGCUUGGUGCAUUGGUCACCAAGCCUUCUUGAUUAUAUGUCACUUACCUUGUAGAAGUUGAAGGAAAACUAUUCGUGGUUCGCUGACUUGCUCUUGCGUUUCAAGCCACCAAAUCAGAAGUCAAAGGAAGCUUUAAACUCGAAGAAGCUGAAAAUUGGAUCUCACAAGCUCACAAUUCAACCUAUAAAGCUCUUCAGAUUAGCUCCCACUUAGUGAAUUGCUUACUUGCUUGCUUAUGUUAUCAUCAUCGCGCUAUAGUUUUGGUUUGGAUUAUUAGUUAUGAUAUCGAGUAUCUGAAUUGCUUAUAUAGGAAAGUUCAAUUAUGUUUUGGAAUUGUAACUUUGAAAGUUCAUGGCAAGUAAUGUUGUUCUAACU